GAUGAACGCUGGCGGCGUGCCUAAUACAUGCAAGUCGAGCGAACAGACGAGGAGCUUGCUCCUCUGACGUUAGCGGCGGACGGGUGAGUAACGCGUGGAUAACCUACCUAUAAGACUGGGAUAACUUCGGGAAACCGGAGCUAAUACCGGAUAAUAUAUUGAACCGCAUGGUUCAAUAGUGAAAGACGGUUUUGCUGUCACUUAUAGAUGGAUCCGCGCCGCAUUAGCUAGUUGGUAAGGUAACGGCUUACCAAGGCAACGAUGCGUAGCCGACCUGAGAGGGUGAUCGGCCACACUGGAACUGAGACACGGUCCAGACUCCUACGGGAGGCAGCAGUAGGGAAUCUUCCGCAAUGGGCGAAAGCCUGACGGAGCAACGCCGCGUGAGUGAAGAAGGUCUUCGGAUCGUAAAACUCUGUUAUUAGGGAAGAACAAAUGUGUAAGUAACUAUGCACGUCUUGACGGUACCUAAUCAGAAAGCCACGGCUAACUACGUG
RNAcentral lists this ribosomal RNA (497 nucleotides) under uncultured bacterium. Its description in RNAcentral is "partial 16S ribosomal RNA". It matches the Rfam family "Bacterial small subunit ribosomal RNA", at positions 28 to 507 of the family's 1533-position model. The record is from RNAcentral.